This 61-nucleotide transfer RNA is filed under the name Dipodomys ordii (Ord's kangaroo rat). It matches the Rfam family "tRNA", at positions 6 to 65 of the family's 71-position model. From Rfam's summary of the family: Transfer RNA (tRNA) molecules are approximately 80 nucleotides in length. Their secondary structure includes four short double-helical elements and three loops (D, anti-codon, and T loops). Further hydrogen bonds mediate the characteristic L-shaped molecular structure. tRNAs have two regions of fundamental functional importance: the anti-codon, which is responsible for specific mRNA codon recognition, and the 3' end, to which the tRNAs corresponding amino acid is attached (by aminoacyl-tRNA synthetases). tRNAs cope with the degeneracy of the genetic code in two manners: having more than one tRNA (with a specific anti-codon) for a particular amino acid; and 'wobble' base-pairing, i.e. permitting non-standard base-pairing at the 3rd anti-codon position. The record is from Rfam by way of RNAcentral. Lineage: Eukaryota; Metazoa; Chordata; Mammalia; Rodentia; Heteromyidae.
UGUAGCUCAGAGGUAGAGCAUUUGACUAGCAAAUAUAAGGUCCUGGAUUCAAAUCCUAGCA